CCCUUAGAUGUUCUGGGCUGCACGCGCGCUACACUGAUGCACUCAACGAGUUUACGACCUUGCCCGAUAGGGUUGGGUAAUCUUUUUAAAAUGCAUCGUGAUGGGGAUAGAUUAUUGCAAUUAUUAAUCUUCAACGAGGAAUUCCUAGUAAGCGCGAGUCAUCAGCUCGUGCUGAUUACGUCCCUGCCCUUUGUACACACCGCCCGUCGCUCCUACCGAUUGAGUGCUCAGGUGAAUAAUUCGGACUGCAGCAAUGUUUGGAUCCCGAACGUUGCAGCGGAAAGUUUAGUGAACCUUAUCACUUAGAGGAAGGAGAAGUCGUAACAA
This 327-nucleotide ribosomal RNA is filed under the name uncultured eukaryote. RNAcentral's name for it is "partial 18S ribosomal RNA". It matches the Rfam family "Eukaryotic small subunit ribosomal RNA", at positions 1470 to 1797 of the family's 1831-position model. The record is from RNAcentral.